RNAcentral lists this long non-coding RNA (834 nucleotides) under Cairina moschata (Muscovy duck). RNAcentral's name for it is "domestica (muscovy Duck (domestic type)) lncRNA (ENSCMMG00000013236.1)". The record is from RNAcentral. Lineage: Eukaryota; Metazoa; Chordata; Aves; Anseriformes; Anatidae.
GUUGAUCACCAAACUGUGAAUGUCAUGGGGUGCAUUUUAUUUACUUUUUUCAAGUAGAAAUAGUUGCUGUUCUUGCAAUUCUAGGAUUGUGGAGCCUUGAGGCACCAAGACUCCAAGGAGUCGCAGCGUCUUUUGUUUUGGUAAGAGAAGUGAAUGGAAAGUUAGACAGAAACCGGAGGACACCACCAUCUGGGAGGAUGGAGCAGAGGUUCCCUGGGCAGAUGUGGGAUGGCCACUUCGUUUCAGAGGGGAGAGUGGUGCCUCCUGAAAAACAACAGCAAACACCUCUCAGGGGCAGGAGCUUAACUGGAACAUAUUCUCCAGUAGCAUGGACCAGGUAAAUGGCAGAUUAAAUUGCUUUCCUAUUUAAGCAAAUACACAAGGAUGAAAUUGUCCAUUUUGUUUUAUACUUCACUGUCGUAUGAGCCCUGCUCAUUAGAAUUCUGUCCAAAAUAUGGACAAAAUAUGUCCAAAAAUGUCCCUUCAGAGGUGGUUAUUCUGACAACCUUAAAAAAGACUUUGAAGAGAACAGCUAGAUUAUGAACUUAAAUGAUGAGCUCACUUGGUAUUUUUAGCAAGAACCUUUCUGAAAAAGAAAUGUUCAGUAAAGUAAGAAGUUGCUGCUCACCACAUUCACCCUGGUAUUUUGAGACGCGUUUGCAGAAUUACAGUGACAUGGAGCCCAAGUGCGCAGAUGGACUAUUAUUCCUCUGAUUCACUGACUUUUAAUUUUCUCUGAAUGCAUCCUGGCUCAUAGCUCUUGUAUGCCACCUGACAUGUCUGUGACUCAAAAUAGAAGAAGGAAUCCUCUUUUUCACUAGAUGCACAUAUAAC